GUCCCGGUAGACGCCGAUAUGCGCAACGCGCGCCGAGGGUACCAGUUCGAGCAU
This 54-nucleotide small RNA is filed under the name Sinorhizobium meliloti 2011. RNAcentral's name for it is "putative ncRNA". Lineage: Bacteria; Pseudomonadati; Pseudomonadota; Alphaproteobacteria; Hyphomicrobiales; Rhizobiaceae. The record is from RNAcentral.